Mastomys coucha (southern multimammate mouse) is the source of this 513-nucleotide long non-coding RNA. RefSeq lists it as uncharacterized. The transcript is spliced from 3 exons. Lineage: Eukaryota; Metazoa; Chordata; Mammalia; Rodentia; Muridae. The record is from RefSeq and is a predicted model, not a curated record.
GGAGCAACUUGGGAGUAAAGACUAGGGAGCAGCCCUCUGCCCUCUUCUUUCUAGGAUAGGAGCAUGGUUGUCCUGUGGAGCCCUGGCAGAGAACUAAGAGAACAAAAAUACUCAGAGGAGAAUCAUCCAUUAGAAAAGAUUUUCAGCUGAUUCAUCAACAGAGAGAGAAAGAGACAGAGAGAGACAAAAAGAGUCAAGAUGGGGGGCAGUUUGAAUGAGUAAAUGGUCAUGAAUUUAAAGCCAUCAAUACUUCAGAUCAAAUCAUUCAAGUCAAAUAUUGAGGGGACUUUGCUCCUAGGGAAUUCUAUACUCAGAAUCCAAAGCUUGGGUAUAUCUUCUCUUUUUUAAAAUUCAAUUUUGAAAGCCCUUGAUUUCAAUUUUCUUUUUAACAUGUUGGGUACAUUUUAUUGGAGGUGCCAAGAGAAAAGGAUGAAAGUAUGUUGCCAUAGUAAUUGUCUCCAUGUAGUUUGGAAGGCUAUCAUGGGAAAUUAGGCAAUUAAUAAAAUGCUGUUA